Molecule: ribosomal RNA, 2149 nt
Filed under: Mediterraneibacter torques
Lineage: Bacteria; Bacillati; Bacillota; Clostridia; Lachnospirales; Lachnospiraceae
Description: [Ruminococcus] torques 23S ribosomal RNA
Rfam family: Bacterial large subunit ribosomal RNA
Source: RNAcentral
UUAUGCUGAUAAGAGCGUAUGGUGGAUGCCUUGGCACUAAGAGCCGAUGAAAGACGUGAUAAGCUGCGAAAAGCUUCGGGGAGGAGCAAAUAUCCUUUGAUCCGGAGAUCUCUGAAUGGGGAAACCUACUUGAGCAAACCUCAAGUAUCCUUAAGCCAAUACAUAACUUAAGGAAGGGAACCCGGUGAACUGAAACAUCUAAGUAGCCGGAGGAAGAGAAAACAACAUGUGAUUCUGUGAGUAGCGGCGAGCGAAAACGGAAGAGCCCAAACCAGCGUGCGUGCAUGCUGGGGUUCGGACCGCGGAAUUGAUUCAACGAGUUUAGCAGAACGGUUUUGGGAAAGCCGGCCAGAGAGGGUGAAAGCCCCGUAAGCGAAAGACGAGUUGACAUGGCGGGAUCCAGAGUACCACGAGACACGUGGAACCUUGUGGGAAGAUGCGGGGACCACCCCGUAAGGCUAAAUACUACUUAGUGACCGAUAGCGCAUAGUACUGUGAAGGAAAGGUGAAAAGGACCCCGGGAGGGGAGUGAAAAAGAACCUGAAACCAUAUGUUUACAAGCUGUGGAAGAGCUUUAUAUGCUCAACCGCGUACUUUUUGUAGAACGGUCCGGCGAGUUACGCUGGCUGGCGAGGUUAAGGACUAAAGGUCCGGAGCCGAAGGGAAACCAAGUCUGAAUAGGGCGCAUAGUCAGUCGGAGUAGACCCGAAACCGGGUGAUCUAUCCAUGUCCAGGUUGAAGUUGCCGUAAAAGGCAAUGGAGGACCGAACCCACAUCCGUUGAAAAGGGUGGGGAUGAGGUGUGGAUAGGGGAGAAAUUCCAAUCGAACCCGGAGAUAGCUGGUUCUCCUCGAAAUAGCUUUAGGGCUAGCCUCAUACGAGUCUUGCGGAGGUAGAGCACUGAAUUCCUAAGGGGGCGUCAAAGCUUACUAAGGGAUAUCAAACUCCGAAUGCCGUGUAGAUGAUGUAUGGGAGUCAGACGAUCCGAGAUAAGUUGGGUGGUCAAAAGGGAAAGAGCCCAGACCAACAGCUAAGGCCCCAAAAUGUGUGUUAAGUGGAAAAGGAUGUGGGAUUUCGAAGACAACUAGGAUGUUGGCUCAGAAGCAGCCAUUCAUUCAAAGAGUGCGUAAUAGCUCACUAGUCGAGAGGUCCUGCGCCGAAAAUGUCCGGGGCUAAAACACACUGCCGAAGCUUUGGAAUUGAGAAUUCAAUUGGUAGAGGAGCAUUCUUAAAGGGACGAAGCAGUACCGAAAGGAGCUGUGGACUUUUAAGAAGAGAGAAUGCCGGAAUGAGUAGCGAGAGGAAGGUGGGAAUCCUUCCGGCCGAAUAUCUAAGGUUUCCAGAGUAAAGCUGAUCUGCUCUGGGUAAGUCGGGGCCUAAGGCGAGGUCGAAAGACGUAGUCGAUGGAUAACAGGUUGAAAUUCCUGUACUAUCCUGUAACAGAACUGUGGGGACACAGGCAGAGAGCGUGAGCCGGGAAUGGAAAGACCGGUACAAGCGAGGUAGGAGUUCAGUUGGCAAAUCCGCUGAACAAUCUGAAGACGUGAUGUGGACUGAAAAUAAGUAGGGAAGCACGUGAGCUGACUGUCAAGAAAAGCCGCUAUUGUUUGCAGGAUACCCGUACCGUAAACCGACACAGGUGGAUGAGGAGAGAAUCCUAAGGCCGACGGGAGAAGCAUUGUUAAGGAACUCGGCAAAAUGACUCCGUAACUUCGGGAGAAGGAGUGCCAGUAAGAUGGCCGCAGAGAAUUGGCCCAAGCAACUGUUUAGCAAAAACACAGGUCUAUGCAAAACCGAAAGGUGAGGUAUAUGGGCUGACGCCUGCCCGGUGCUGGAAGGUUAAGGGGAGAGGUUAGCGCAAGCGAAGCUUUGAACUUAAGCCCCAGUAAACGGCGGCCGUAACUAUAACGGUCCUAAGGUAGCGAAAUUCCUUGUCGGGUAAGUUCCGACCCGCACGAAAGGCGUAAUGAUUUGGGCACUGUCUCAACAAUGCACCCGGUGAAAUUGAAAUACCAGUGAAGAUGCUGGUUACCUGCGCCAGGACGGAAAGACCCCAUGGAGCUUUACUCCAGCUUGAUACUGGGAUUCGGUAUUGCAUGUACAGGAUAGGUGGGAGGCUAGGAAAUGGUAACGCCAGUUGCCAUGGAGCC